CGCCAAGUCCGAGGCUCCGGCGCUCACCGGAGCCUGGUGCAAAAAGGGA
Molecule: small RNA, 49 nt
Filed under: Streptomyces kanasensis
Lineage: Bacteria; Bacillati; Actinomycetota; Actinomycetes; Kitasatosporales; Streptomycetaceae
Description: Streptomyces sp. ZX01 raiA-hairpin RNA
Rfam family: raiA-hairpin RNA
Source: Rfam by way of RNAcentral